GAUGAACGCUGGCGGCGUGCCUAAUACAUGCAAGUCGAGCGAACAGACGAGGAGCUUGCUCCUCUGACGUUAGCGGCGGACGGGUGAGUAACACGUGGAUAACCUACCUAUAAGACUGGGAUAACUUCGGGAAACCGGAGCUAAUACCGGAUAAUAUAUUGAACCGCAUGGUUCAAUAGUGAAAGACGGUUUUGCUGUCACUUAUAGAUGGAUCCGCGCCGCAUUAGCUAGUUGGUAAGGUAACGGCUUACCAAGGCAACGAUGCGUAGCCGACCUGAGAGGGUGAUCGGCCACACUGGAACUGAGACACGGUCCAGACUCCUACGGGAGGCAGCAGUAGGGAAUCUUCCGCAAUGGGCGAAAGCCUGACAGAGCGACGCCGCGUGAGUGAUGAAGGUCUUCGGAUCGUAAAACUCUGUUAUUAGGGAAGAACAAAUGUGUAAGUAACUAUGCACGUCUUGACGGUACCUAAUCAGAAAGCCACGGCUAACUACGUG
Molecule: ribosomal RNA, 497 nt
Filed under: uncultured bacterium
Lineage: Bacteria
Description: partial 16S ribosomal RNA
Rfam family: Bacterial small subunit ribosomal RNA
Source: RNAcentral